RNAcentral lists this unclassified non-coding RNA (343 nucleotides) under soil metagenome. RNAcentral's name for it is "partial contains 5.8S ribosomal RNA, internal transcribed spacer 2, and large subunit ribosomal RNA". The stretch from base 1 to 120 matches the Rfam family "5.8S ribosomal RNA", at positions 35 to 154 of the family's 154-position model. The record is from RNAcentral.
GAUGAAGAACGUAGCGAAAUGCGAUAAGUAAUGUGAAUUGCAGAAUUCAGUGAAUCAUCGAAUCUUUGAACGCACAUUGCGCCCGCCAGCAUUCUGGCGGGCAUGCCUGUUCGAGCGUCAUUUCAACCCUCGAGCCCCCCCGGGGGCCUCGGUGUUGGGGGACGGCACACCAGCCGCCCCCGAAAUGCAGUGGCGACCCCGCCGCAGCCUCCCCCGCGUAGUAGCACACACCUCGCACCGGAGCGCGGAGGCGGUCACGCCGUAAAACGCCCAACUUUCUUAGAGUUGACCUCGGAUCAGGUAGGAAUACCCGCUGAACUUAAGCAUAUCAAUAAGCGGAGGA